Molecule: ribosomal RNA, 483 nt
Filed under: uncultured bacterium
Lineage: Bacteria
Description: partial 16S ribosomal RNA
Rfam family: Bacterial small subunit ribosomal RNA
Source: RNAcentral
GACGAACGCUGGCGGCGUGCUUAACACAUGCAAGUCGAACGCUGAAGCUCAGCUUUUGUUGGGUGGAUGAGUGGCGAACGGGUGAGUAACACGUGAGUAACCUGCCCCCUUCUUUGGGAUAACGCCCGGAAACGGGUGCUAAUACUGGAUAUUAGCUGGUCUUCGAUUGGGGGUUUGUGGAAGGGGCUUUUCUGGUGGGUGGUGGGCUCGCGGCCUAUCAGGUUGUUGGUGGGGUGGUGGCCUACCAAGGCUUUGACGGGGCGCCGGACUGGGAGGGUGACCGGGCACGUUGGGAGUGAGAUACGGACCAGAAUACGACGGGGGGCAGCAGGGGAGAAAAUUGCACAAUGGGCGGAAGAAUGAUGCAGCGACGCCGCGUGAGGGAUGGAGGGCGGCGGGUUGGGAACCGGUUUCGCUCAUGGUCAAGCCGCAACAAUGGUUGUGGUGAGGGUAGUGGGUAAAGAAGCGCCGGCUAACUACGUG